This is a long non-coding RNA of Capsicum annuum, 505 nucleotides long. RefSeq lists it as uncharacterized. NCBI's taxonomy places the organism in Eukaryota, Viridiplantae, Streptophyta, Magnoliopsida, Solanales, Solanaceae. The transcript has 3 exons. The record is from RefSeq and is a predicted model, not a curated record.
AAUUGUACAAAUGGCAGAAUUGCUGCAAAAUUCUAGAAAACUUCGCCUUAGAAGGAUUUAGAAACCUAUUAGGAUGAUUUUGGCAGUUGCAAGUGUAAGACCUUUGCUUCUGAUGCUUAUCUAGUUGCCUUGCCAUCUUUUAAUGUCUUAAUUUUUUUUGUUUGCUAAAUUUAAACGUAUUGCUCAGCGUACGAUUCCUUUGUCCUUGUGCAGAUACAUUAUUUUGGUAGAUCUUUUCUAAUUGUUUUGAUUGAACCUUUUUCUGUCCCCCCCCCUGCAUUGACUGUUCUAUUUCGUGUGCAGACUUGUUAUCUGCUGUUCGAAAGGCUGUGGAAGAUGAAAAACUGCCACUUAAUAUUGCUGAAGGAAUGGAGGAGCUGUAUCAGAACUAUCGGAAUGCAGUUUUACAAAGUGGAGUCCCCAAAGCAGAUGAGAUCAUCCUGUAUAACAUGGCUCUUGUAUUGGAUCGUGUUUUUGUGGAUGUGAAGGAUCCUUUUGAGUUCUC